RNAcentral lists this ribosomal RNA (253 nucleotides) under uncultured bacterium. RNAcentral describes it as "partial 16S ribosomal RNA". It matches the Rfam family "Bacterial small subunit ribosomal RNA", at positions 524 to 776 of the family's 1533-position model. The record is from RNAcentral.
UACGGAGGGUGCAAGCGUUGUCCGGAAUCACUGGGCGUAAAGGGCGCGUAGGCGGCUCAUGAAGGCUGUGGUGAAAGUCCGGGGCUCAACCUCGGAUCGGCCGUGGCGACUCGUGGGCUGGAGCACUGUAGAGGCGGGUGGAAUUCCGGGUGUAGCGGUGGAAUGCGUAGAGAUCCGGAAGAACACCAGUGGCGAAGGCGGCUCACUGGACCGGUACUGACGCUGAUGCGCGAAAGCGUGGGGAGCAAACGGG